AUCUUCUUCGAAUGAGAGAUGCAACGAACUCCGCAGCCGGUGGACGCCCUGGUGCGUGAGGGACUUCACGGUUCCCGGCUGACAUUUCAUUGCUGAAGCUGUGGCUUCGACGGACAGGU
This 119-nucleotide unclassified non-coding RNA is filed under the name plant metagenome. RNAcentral's name for it is "partial contains 5.8S ribosomal RNA, internal transcribed spacer 2, and large subunit ribosomal RNA". The record is from RNAcentral.